ACGGAAGGCAGCAGUGGGGAAUAUUGCACAAUGGGGGAAACCCUGAUGCAGCGACGCCGCGUGAGCGAUGAAGUAUUUCGGUAUGUAAAGCUCUAUCAGCAGGGAAGAUAAUGACGGUACCUGACUAAGAAGCCCCGGCUAACUACGUGCCAGCAGCCGCGGUAAUACGUAGGGGGCAAGCGUUAUCCGGAUUUACUGGGUGUAAAGGGUGCGUAGGUGGCAUGGCAAGUCAGAAGUGAAAACCCGGGGCUCAACCCCGUGGAUUGCUUUUGAAACUGUCAAGCUAGAGUGCAGGAGAGGAAAGCGGAAUUCCUAGUGUAGCGGUGAAAUGCGUAGAUAUUAGGAGGAACACCAGUGGCGAAGGCGGCUUUCUGGACUGUAACUGACACUGAGGCACGAAAGCGUGGGGAGCAAACAGGAUUAGAUACCCUGGUA
RNAcentral lists this ribosomal RNA (435 nucleotides) under uncultured Lachnospiraceae bacterium. RNAcentral describes it as "partial 16S ribosomal RNA". It matches the Rfam family "Bacterial small subunit ribosomal RNA", at positions 341 to 792 of the family's 1533-position model. The record is from RNAcentral. Lineage: Bacteria; Bacillati; Bacillota; Clostridia; Lachnospirales; Lachnospiraceae.